CUCUCUCUCCUCCUCCCUUGCUCACGUCCUCCCUCUCUCUCUCUCUCUCAAAAGAAUAACAAUAAUAAGGAAAUAUGAGUUUCCCCCCAGCAAAUCAAGGGGGAAGGUUUAAGAACACCCGGUGCUGACGAGAACACAGUAGAACAUGUAGAACACAGUAGAACACAGUAGCACUAUUUUUCAGUGCUAAGGGGAUUGUGAAUUGGUGUAACCUAUUUGAAAAGUAGGACAAUAGUCAAAGAGAAGGAGAGAGGUGAACGUUUCAAGAAAGGGCAAGUAGCCUAUGUAUUUAUACAACAUGUAUUGUCUUCUUUGUCUUCUGUUGUCUUCAGGCAUGGUGCUAGGUGUUAAAAUAUGAAGAUAAAUAAGAUAUGGCAUAUCUUGGGCAUAUGGUCAAAGAGUUAAGACACACAGAUACUAAAAUGAUGUGUAGUAAGAAGGCCAGAGAUGUGCUUGAGACGUGGGCAAAGCAGGGAGCAGCUGGGAUGGGUGGUACAUAUGUGAGGCUUUCUGGGAGGAUCUGGGGGGCUCCUAGAAGAGCCGCCCAGAUGAACAGGAGUUAGUCAGAGGGCAGAGCAAAAGUAAGCAUCAUGGACGAGCUCAUGGACAGUUCAGGGUCACCAGAGCAUGAGAGUAAGGAACAGGGGAUGGAGAAGGUGGGACCAGAUCGCACAGUGCCAUGUCUGUCUAACUGAAGACUUGGUUCUUUUUCCUCUUGACAAGAGUGGGCCUCUGAAGCAUUUUGAGCAGGCGGGUGCCAUGGUCAGAUUUCUGUUUUAGGGUGGUUACUCUGAUUGCUUGGAGACAUUUGGAGGGGCAAAGGCUAAUGAGGGGAUGAUCGCCUUGGUCCAAGUCAGAGGGCAAGGCCUGAAUUAGGUCUGGGCCAAGAGGAUGGAGAGAAGGUAGAAUUAGAGAAACCUGCUGACUGACUGGUGGCUGAGUUAAAGAAGGAGAGUCAAGGAUGCCUUCCCUGUUUCUGUCUUGAGUGACUGCAUGGAUGGGAGAAUACCCCAGAGAAAGGACAGACUUAGGGGCUGGAGGAGGGCUGUCGAGCUCAGUUUUGGACAGGUUGAGUGAAAGGUGUGCGUCCCGGUGGAGGUGGCCUACAAGGGGCUAGGUGGAAGGUUUGGAUCCAGCAGAUUUAACAGAAAAUUUGGUUUAUAACUGAUUGUGACUGUAGCCGUGGGCUUUGGUGAGCUGGGCCUUGGAGAAAUGGCAGCUAAGAAGAGAAAGGGAUCCAGGCGGAGAACCUAUCCCCCAGGUAAGGGGUGGGCAGAGAGAAAGAUGAGCCCACGAAGGCAAGAAGUCAGAAAGAGGUGGAAGAAGCACCUGAAGCCUGUGUUGGCAAGCCAACUCAGGGAUGUGGAGUAUUUCCAGGAGGGAACACUCAACAGAAAACAGAGAAAAGCCAGUUAGAUAAAGACUGAGAGCUCACUGCAUGGAAUGACUACGGGCCCCUAGAUCCUCACAGGGGCAGUUUCCUGUGAGAAACGGGGCAGAAGCCCCGCAAGGGGAGCGGAAUAAAAUGAAAGAGGAAGGAAAAGCCGACUGCAUGGCCCCGUGUCCAGAGAAGUCUGGGAUACUGGGAAGAAGUGCUCGAGUUACGAUUUGGGUUAAGGAGAAUCUCGGAGCUGGGCCGAGAGGAAAUAAGGAUAGAUACGACAGAAGAGAGGUCGAAAGGGCUGUCGCCUAAUGAGCUUCUGUCUGUAGAAAUCAGAGGUGAGAUCUAAGGACAAGGUCAGUAGGGAAGAAAAAGGUCCAGUGAUGACCUUGACUAGAGCUGCUGUCAAGUAGGAGGAUAUAUAUGCCAGCUGGGAGCCCACAGAGGAAGUGUGGGCAUGUCCUGGGGGGACAGAUGGAGAACUCGGGAUGAGGUGGAAGGAGAAGGUGCAGAGUUCACAGGGCAGGGCCAGACACUGAGCCGUGACUGACACUUUAGGAAUGGAUGCAGGCAGAGGACCUGCCAAGGAGACUGAGCAGGAGGGGCUGAAGGAGAAGACCAGAAAAGCAGUGGUCCCAGAAGCCCAGGGAGCUGAGAGUUCCCACAGGUCAGGGUGGCUACUGGUGGACCAGAUGCACAGAGGUCAGGGGAGAUGAGGGCAUCCCCCAGACCUGGUCUUGGGCACCUUUGCCGCAGCAACUUUGGGGGAGGGACCAGGAGCCCGCCAGCUGGGGGAUGAUCUGGAGUCUGGCUGAGAAAGCGAGAGGAAGGAGGGGAACCUGGGGGGGUGGGCAGCAGGGCUCAGGAAGGUGCUGUGUCUUACCCGCUGUCAUUUGGACAGAAGAGGGCUAUGGGAGCCGAGUUUGAAGGGCAGCAACGAGUUUGAAGGGCAUGCAAGGGGCCCCAGAGCGGCGGGAUUAAGUGUAGAUGGGAAGGGAUUAGCCGUGUUGGUGGAAAGGGGCAAAAUUAAAUCAUGUACAUUUUACAAGGUAAGCUGAUCUCCAUGUUCUUCUGGAGGCUUUUGCUCUGCUCUCUGGGUAACGACUACAGCUCUAAUUAGCAGUGGUUUCAUCCUGCCUGUGUCUGGGGCCAUGUCUUCCUCGGUUUUUGUACCUUUCGGCACCUAGCAACAGGCAGCGAGCUAGGUAGAGGCAGACUCAUUAUUUUCCGCUUGAAAUCAAACGUCUGAAAUUGAGGUUCAGAAUUCUGUUUCAUCACAGAGAUUUUGUGACAAUUCCCAGGGAAUCCAUGAACAAGGAAAUGCAGUUCAAGGUUGAGGCUGUCAUGGAUGUGAGACUGUCUGUGUCCCAGUAAAUGCAAGCUGUACUCCUCUGUGGGCACAGCUCUUUACAGUUUACAUGGUGGAUCAUUACAUUUGUCUCCUUUGGUCAUCGCAACCCUAUCCUCCCACCUCUGGUGAGGCACACAGCUACCAUUAGCCCCAUGUCACUUAGGAAAUUGAGACCAAGAGAGGCAGGCUGGAAGGAGAGAGUGAUGGGCAGUGAAGUGAAUGGAGACUGGGCACAAUCCUGAAUGCUACAUGCACAGCCCACCAGCACGCAGUGGUUGUAUCUCCUAGACAUGGAGUCAUUCUCUUUCCUUCAUAUUUGAACGGGAGUCAAAAAUCAAACAGAGCUCUGGUCUAACCGGCUGAGCUCUGGCCUAGUGCCACCGCUGACAACACCUGGCUUUUGUGUACAGGAGCAGACCAGGUCCCACCAUAGCCAUAUAAACUAGAGAACAGGACAUUUCCCUACAUGUAACAAGGGGAGUGAGGAGGAAUGAGGGACUCCAGAAAGCCCAAACCCCGAGACAUCCAUUACGUGAAGUAACCAGCCCAGAGACAGAGAGAGAGAUCUGAUAGAAAGCCGUGGUCCAGGGGAGAGACAGAGGGGCCUGAACUGGACCAGUGAAGACAGACAGAAAUAGAUCAGAAACUUGUAGUAGCUAAAACCCAGAAAUAAUUGGUGUAGGAUUCACUCUUAGGUAAAAGACGGCAAAGAUGAGGGUGACUCCCGUGUGUCUGGGUGGGCCCUGGGUAGGUGGGGGGGGGAAGGCCCCUGUGUAUGAGGAACACAGCAUGGAGAGCCAGUGUGAGGGGCAGGACAGUGGACUCAGAUACAGCCAAGGGGUCAGGGUCACAGCCAAGUAGAGCCCAGCAGGCACUUGGAUCCGGGGUCUGGAGCUUAGGAAGAGAUUGGACUGGAAGUACUGGCCCAGGCACAUGGCUAUUCAGAGAGUAAUGGGAAGCCUGAGAAUGAGUGAGAUCAUCAGAGACAGAAUGGGACAGGGCCCAGGGCAGAAUCAUGAGGUACAGUGACCUGUGAGGAAUCAGUCAAGGUGUGAGCAGGUGACAAAGGAAAAGAGAAGGAAGGACCUCAGAGAUGUGGACAAACAACUACGAGGGGGGUUGCCAGGGCAACCAAGGUAGUGAGGCAUUCCAGGGAGAAAGUAAUCAACAUUGUCAAACACAGCAGAGAAUUCCAAAAAAGACGGACUUUUUUUUUCCUUUGAUCUCAUUAUUAGUAAGUUUUUGUUGACCUUAAUAAAAGCAUUUUGGGGGAGUAAUAGGGCAUAAACUGAACUAAUGUUCAGAUGUGAGGGGGAGGUGAUUCUGUCACUAAGAGCCCUUUGAGGAGUCUGGAAGGGAGACUUGGAGAGGUGAAGGAUUAGGGGCAGAGAGUUUGAGCGUGGGAAAGAUAUGAGCAAGUUUAUAGGCAGACAUCAGCUCCCAGAUGCAACAAGCAUUGUUGAGUGACACAAUUUUUUCAUUCUACAUGUUCUAAUUUAAUGCCUAUUAUGUGCCUGGCAGAGUGCCUAGCAGUGUGGAUAUUUGGUAAAUGAAUUAGAAUCCCUGUUCCCAUGGAAGUUGUGCGGUAGGAGAGGAAAAAGACAGGAAUGAAAUAAUGGGCACACAUCGAUAUGCAACAUGAAUGGGCACUCUGAAGGAGAGGAACUAAGUGUUGGAGGGUGUCCAACAAGGGGACCUGUCCUAGGCUGACUCCAGGAGCCUUCCCUGUGGAGGCGACACUUGAACCAAGUUGUUCAGAAGGGAAAGGAGUUAAGUGGACAGAGUAAACUGGGGAAAAGCAUUCUGGGCAGAGGGAACAGCCUGUGCAAAAGGAGAAGAGGUGAGACCAGAAAGCCAGGCAGUGCUGGUUGAGCAGGCUUUUGGAAGCCAGGACUGAGACCUGCUCUGGUAUGUCACUGUCAUCUGAGACUGGCUAUGCUAUGGAGAAAUCAGAAGGAGCACAAGGAGACUUAGGGAGACCAGUUAAGAAGUGUUUGGGUCAUGGUAGACAGAAUUUAGACAGUCAACAUAAUCUGGUUAGUCUUGGUGCUGAUGGAAUGAAGUAGGGCAGGGAGAGGAGGAGGGAUUCAGAAUGACCCCUGCAUUUCUGGCUUGCCAUACAGAUGAGGUGGCAGUGCCAUUCUCAGAAUUGGAAAGUCCUAAAAAGGGACAGGGUCUGUGAGGCCGACCCCAACUCUGGUAGUACACAGCUAAGACAUCCAAGUGGAGAUGGGAAGGAAGUGGCUGAAUACAUAUAUCCAGAGCAUAGAGUGAGAAAUUACAGAGAUGGGCUCAGAGCUCCUGAGGGAUCCCAAAUGUGAAUUAAAGCAGUGUCAGGUUUCUGGAACAUUCUGAGGCUAUGAAAGGUGGCUGAGGAAGAAGAGGCCUGAAAUGGUGCCCAAGAAGCACCAACACUUGGGAGCUGUAAAAGGAAAGAAGAAUCCUCCUAGGGCACUGAAGAGAAAGGACCAGGGAGGCCUUUCAAACCAGAAGGAUGACGUGGUCAGCAGAGAGGUCAGGUGUGGGGGGGUGGCUGAUCUGUGGGCCCCUCUCAUGUCCAACUGCCCAGUUGCCACGGUGGCCCUGAUGAUCAGCACCCACCAGGGCCCAUGCUCUGAGACCUUUUGGGGACUUUGACCAAGACUCUUAAGGAAGAGGGAACAAAUUCUAAGGCCUUUUCAUUUUAAUCUUAAAGGAGAGCAAUGCUGGUGUAUGAAUAUUCUGAGCGAAGCAAGCCUGAGUGAUGAAGCGAUUAAGGGCAGAGACAAUUAGCGUGAAAUGAGCUCCCGAAGGGGCCGGGAUCAAGUCCAGUGGUGGAUAAAUUCAUUGGGGGCCGUAAUGUGUAUUGGACCAAAUGGGGCAAAAUGAAAUUAUUUACCUUUUAGAGAGUGACUUGAUCUCCAUGUUCUUUUGGGAGCUUUAAUCUGACCUGUGUACUGACUAUAGUGCUAAUUAAGUCAGUUUUAUCCUGUCUUGUGGCUGGGAUUGUGUCUUCGUUUUCUUGUUUCUCAGCACCUAACGACAGGCAAUAAGCAAUUUGGGUGCAAAUCUGGUAUUUUCUGCUUUGGGAUCAAAUAUCUGAAGUCAACACUCAAACUCUCUGACCAAAGAGAAUAUGUGACAAUUCUCCAGAAGUUACAAUGCAGGAAAGAACUGGGGCAUGAAGUCAUGAGGUUUGGGUGAGUGGAGGGAAAGCGGAGGUACCAGCUCCCCUCAUCCUUUUAAGCUCUGUGCCAUUUGUGUAUAUUCGCAUUCCUCAUCCCAACUGAACCUCACAUCCCCCCACAAGAUAAAGCAUGACCCAAUUUCAGAGAGGAGGAAACAGACGCCAGAGGAGGAAGUGCCUUACUGACACAGAGCACAAGUGGCGGGAGCUAGAUUCAGAACUCAGUGCAGCUAGUGUAACAGUCCUUCCCACGACCAGGCUGAGCCAGAGAGAAAGAGGGAGAGAGGGGGUCCAGGAGCCAGAGGUAGAGAUGCUCUGCGGGCACGUGCAGAGGGGUGGACGCGCAGUCCAACUCCAGACCUACCGGAUAUUAAAGCAUCAAAUCCAACCGCAGUGAUGAAAUCUACAGUGUGAGAACAAGAGCGAGGAGCGUUCUUGUUUAAACUUCCCCACCGCAUGAAUGAUAUGUACAUUCUCUAUUUGCAUCUCAAGCUUCCGUAUUCUUAAAAACUUAAGUCUUUAAUCCAUCUGAAAUGUAUUUUUGCGUAUGGUGUGACACAGAGAUCUGAUCUGAUCUUUUUCCAGAUGGAUAACCAGCUUGCUAAGCACCAUUUAUUGUCCCAACACCAUCUUUUCUCCCAGUUCCCUAUGUCUAGACUCUAUUCAGAUCUGUUGAUCUGUUCGUCUACUUCUGGGCCAAUACCAGACUUGAAUGAGCAGAGCUUUCUCUUACUGCCUGAUAAGACAUGGUGUGUACACACCGGAGGUAUAGCUUGUUGAAGCUGGCGACUGGAGGCCAUAACCGAUUAUACCACGUGGAGGAAAGCUCAACUCAAACCUGUUCAGGCAGAGGGAGAACUCAGUUGGCUUCUAUAACCAAACCAUGGACCAGGCUGGGCCUCUAGGUCCCCUGGAGCCAGGGACUGGGCCAUCAGACCCUCCGUCUCGUCUCCAGGCUGCCCCAUCACAUGGCCUGCCAACCUCCUUCUCUCGGGUCUGCUGCUUCCACAUGCUCUGCAAGUCUCCCUUCCUUCAGGUCCUGACCAAAAAGAGACCCAGGUGGAAGUGCAGAAGUUUGGUUCGAAGGUCUCACUCGAGGGCGCCUGGCUGGCUCAGUGGGUUAAGCGUCUGCCUUCAGCCCAGAUCAGGAUCCCAGGGUCGUGGGAUCGAGCCCCACAUGGAGCUCCCUGCUCAGCGGGGAGCCUGCUUUCCCCUCUCCUCAUAUUCCUCCCCACAUGCUCUAUCUCGCUCUCUCACUCUCUCUCUCAAAUGGAUGAAUUAAAUCUUUAUUAAAAAAAAAAAAAUGACUCACUUGGGUCAGUGCUUCUAGCUGCCCGCUCUUUUGUCCAGUUGCUCUGUCCUCAGUGCCCUUGUCUGUGGACACCCACAUUCAUAAUAACAGCACCCGCCUUAUCAGCACCAGAGCAUUGGGAGGGUCGAAGAAGAUGAUGCCUGUGAAGGGCUUAGCCGGGGCCUGGCGUGGAAUGAAUGCUCCAUAAAUGUUAGGAGCUAUCUCUGCUCCCAAGUUAAACAAUCUGGAACAGGUUCUGAUUGGCCCAGCCUAAGUUAGGGGCUCAGUCACCCCUGGCUAAUCAGUGAUGGCCAAUAAGGUGAAUCCCAUUCCAAACAGAGAGGUUGGAGUGCAGAGUGACUAACCAGGAGAGAGGGUGCUGGUCUAGGGAAAGAAACCAACAGAUGUAUCCUGUCAAUCCUUCUGGUGUCUGCAGAAAAGGGUUUGACUCGGGCCCCGUAAGCCUGGAGGGAGGGAGGAUACCUAAGAGGAGGCCACCACAGUUGUCCCUGAGAAGUGUUGCAGGCCUGAGCUAAAGUGUGGCUGGAGAGCAGGUGGAUUCAAGAGAGGUUGUGGAGGUAGAACUAGGGAGCCUGGUGCCAAAGGAACACGAGCAGUGGGAGAGAACAAGAGGUUGAAGGGCACCCCUGGCUGCUGACCCAGAAACUGCCACAGACAGAGCCUGGCCAGAGUAUAGCUUUAUUUCUCCAGGACUCAAGUUCCUUCUACCACCCCGCCCCUUUCUGAUCAGCAGCAAAAACUUACUCUUAGUUCAAGGUAAAUGCAAUCACUUCUGGACUUGACCUAAGUCUCUCUUAAGCAAAUUCUUGAUCUACUUCCAGCUUUUCUGCUUCCCACUACUCCUUCCCUUCUCCCUGAGAGUGGUCUUUGUUCUGGGAUCCCCUAUUUUGCCCUGGUACUGGGGUGUGCAUCUGAUCCUGGAAGACCAGGAUCUCUCCGCGGCCAUCCACUGAGCCAAGACAGCCCCGCUGAGUCCUUGUCCCAACCAGAAAGCAGUCCCCCACUUCCCUGUACCCUCACCAUCCUCACCUUGCUAUAGGGAUACACAGGACCCAGGGGGACACCCCCAGACCCAUCUGUCAGGGCCUAACCCCAAAGCUCUCAACUUCUCCAGCCCAAGCUUUGGGGGACUGGGGAGGUUGGUCUUCUGGGCAACACCAUAAAGAGCCAGGCAACAAGUCUUUCUACUCUUUUACUGCUUUGGGGAGAUCUAGUAUCUACCAUUAGUGAUGUGUCCAUAUGACUCUCCUCACGAGCUAGCAAAACUUUUAUUUCCCUUCAGGCAGAAAGACAGCUUCCACAUUCUUCCCUACUUGCUGUUCGUGACAUCAGUGUCAACUUCUGAGCCCCUCGGGUUCUUUUCUCUUUACAAAAAGAUAACCAAAUGCCCUGUCUCUGCUGUAGGUUUCAAGAGACUAUUUGAAACCCUUGACUGUCUUACCACAUUCCUACUAUAGCAACCCCUGUCCCCCACCAAAACUCCAACUGUAGCAAGAGAAAGUGACCAUGGCCACCAUCAUUUCCUGCCUUCCCUAUAUAUACACACUAUUCCUCACGUCAAGAGAUGGAGUCCACUUUUGCUGCCUAUGAACCUGGGCUGGCUUUAGUGACUUUUUGACCAAUAGAAUGUAGCAGAAGGGAUGUUCUGAGACUUGGGAGACCAGGUCAUCAGAAGCUGUGUAGCUUCCACAAAGGACUCUUGAAAUACUUGGUCUUGAGACACUCCCUCUUGCCACCCACCUGCCACGCUACGAGAAGCCCAACCCGGGUGGUGAAUCCACAUGAGGGCACCCAGUCCAUAGCCCAGGUCAGCCGUGUGAGGGAGACUUCCUGCACAGUGAGCCCCCCUGAGCCUCGAGGACUCUAGUCUGGCUACCAUCCAACUGCAGCCACAGGGAGACUUGAAGCAAGAACCACCCAACUGAGUCCUGUCAACCCCCAGAGCCAUGAGAAAUAAUAAAUUGUAUUUUUUAAGCCACUAGAGUUUGGGGUCAUUUGUCAUGCAAAACAGUGACAGGCAACGAAAUGGGAGGUAAGCAUGUUGAAGAGUUAUGUAACAGAUGAUCCUACUACACAGCACUUAAACAGACCAUUAUACAGUAUGGUAAAUGCAGUAAUGGAACAUAGCUUUGCACAGAGCUUUCCAGCGGAGGUGACAACUGGCCUGACUUCCUAAAGACGAGCAGGAUGAGCAAGGUAGAAGGGACAGGAAGGACAUUCCCAGCAAGGGAAA
Long non-coding RNA from Lutra lutra (Eurasian river otter), 9443 nucleotides. RefSeq lists it as uncharacterized. The record is from RefSeq and is a predicted model, not a curated record. The transcript has 3 exons. NCBI's taxonomy places the organism in Eukaryota, Metazoa, Chordata, Mammalia, Carnivora, Mustelidae.